GGCGGCGUGCUUAACACAUGCAAGUCGUGCGAGAAAGCUCCUUCGGGAGUGAGUAGAGCGGCGGACGGGUGAGUAAUGCGUGAAUAACCUGCCCACAGGACUGGGAUAACUUCGGGAAACUGGAGCUAAUACCGGAUAAGACCACGAUUUCUACGGAUUUCGGGGUAAAAGGUGGCUGCUUGCGGCUAUCACCUAUGGAGGGGUUCACGUUCCAUCAGGUUGUUGGUGAGGUAAAGGCUCACCAAGCCUAAGACGGAUAGUUGGCCUUAGCGGGUGGCCAACCACACGGGGACUGAGACACGGCCCCGACUCCUACGGGAGGCAGCAGUGAGGAAUAUUGGGCAAUGGGCGCAAGCCUGACCCAGCGACGUCGCGUGGGGGACGAAGGCCCUCGGGUCGUAAACCCUUGUCAUAGGGGAAGAUGGGUAUAUGUGCUAAUACCACAUAUACUUGACGGUACCCUAAGAGGAAGCCCCGGCUAACUCCGUGCCAGCAGCCGCGGUAAU
RNAcentral lists this ribosomal RNA (506 nucleotides) under uncultured bacterium. Its description in RNAcentral is "bacterial SSU rRNA". It matches the Rfam family "Bacterial small subunit ribosomal RNA", at positions 38 to 524 of the family's 1533-position model. The record is from RNAcentral.